This is a long non-coding RNA of Pongo pygmaeus (Bornean orangutan), 760 nucleotides long. RefSeq lists it as uncharacterized. Lineage: Eukaryota; Metazoa; Chordata; Mammalia; Primates; Hominidae. The transcript is spliced from 5 exons. The record is from RefSeq and is a predicted model, not a curated record.
AGAUGGUAAUCCGACGUAUAAGUAAUGGGCUGUUUUAUUCUUGGUGCUUUCAAGACCUGAUGUUUUGUUUUGAACAGGUUGAUACAUUUAGGCGUGAAAUACAUCACCCCUUUCCCUGCUCCUGCCACCAUUAAAAUUGUGUUUGGCAUCUGACCACCAAGAUAGAGACAUUUCCUAGACUGUUUUGCAGCUAGGUACUUAGAAGUUUUUCUAAGUUAUUUAAACUUCUUACCACACAAAAUCUGGAUUUGUAUCUGUCAUGUAAUAAUUGCUUGAUAAAUCAUUUCUCUUUCCUCUGGAGAAAAAUAUCUGCUUUCUGUAAAAUAAAUGUUCCGUCCAUGCAGCUAAGCAGCUAAGGACACAAACAGCCACUGAUACAGGCCAACUUAUCAGUAGAUUAUUGAGAUUUCAUACUAACACCUUUCAUUGGCUGAACAAAGACAAAGACAGAAAUCAAGGAAGGUCAAAGGAGCAGUCAGUUUUUUGGUACCCAAAGUUGUUGGAGAAGGGUACAGAGUUGGUAAAUAAGUCAUUUGAAAGACAGGCAGUAUAAUCUUAUUUUAAUAACAAGUUUAAAAAUCCCACUUCUUGUACUUACCUUCUGUCUGAUGUUAUCAGUAUUUUAAGAUGCCAACUGGGAUCAAGUUCAACACUACAUUACUGAAGAAUCCAGAUUAUCUACAUUUCACUUGCCAAAUGAAAGAAAGAACCCAGAAAAUAAAACAAUAUGAUGAUAACAGUAAAAUUUUUUAAAAUAAAA